AGCCUCAUAGUGAAGUUCAUAAUGAGUUGCAAGCUCGUUGAUGUGCAUUAAGAGUGCGCUGGGGCUU
This 67-nucleotide transfer RNA is filed under the name Sasia ochracea. Its description in RNAcentral is "tRNA-Cys". Lineage: Eukaryota; Metazoa; Chordata; Aves; Piciformes; Picidae. The record is from RNAcentral.